RNAcentral lists this ribosomal RNA (253 nucleotides) under uncultured bacterium. RNAcentral's name for it is "partial 16S ribosomal RNA". It matches the Rfam family "Bacterial small subunit ribosomal RNA", at positions 524 to 776 of the family's 1533-position model. The record is from RNAcentral.
UACGGGGGGGGCGAGCGUUGUUCGGAAUUACUGGGCGUAAAGGGUUUGUAGGUGGCCUGCUAAGUCAGACGUGAAAUCCCUCAGCUUAACUGGGGAACUGCGUCUGAUACUGGCGGGCUUGAGGACAGGAGAGGAACGCGGAAUUCCAGGUGUAGCGGUGAAAUGCGUAGAUAUCUGGAGGAACACCGGUGGCGAAGGCGGGUCUCUGGGCCGAUACUGACGCUGAGGAGCGAAAGCGUGGGGAGCAAACAGG